RNAcentral lists this long non-coding RNA (1089 nucleotides) under Phascolarctos cinereus (koala). Its description in RNAcentral is "lncRNA (ENSPCIG00000017655.2)". Lineage: Eukaryota; Metazoa; Chordata; Mammalia; Diprotodontia; Phascolarctidae. The record is from RNAcentral.
AUGCCCAUGACUGGCUCUACUGCGAGAGAUUCCAUUUUAGACACUGCAACAGAGACUCUGGAGACUCUGCGAGAAGCCUCAACUCCACCUGAAACGUCUUCUGGAGUCACCAUGGGCAUGGCAAGCCCCACAUUCUCCAUGACUCCAGCAGAGCCCACAGCCAGCACAGGCUCCAGUGGUCCCUUAAAGAUCAGCCCAGCUGGGACAAUUUCUUCUACAUUUCCUGCAGACACACCUGUAUCAGAAACAUCCCUUAGGGAGAGUCCCAGCACCACCCUGACUCCAUGGCCCACUCCAAUUGCUUCUUUUCAUACUGCUGUCUCAGCUUCAGAAAUGGGAAUCAGCUCCAUUUUGCCCCUGUCCUCAACUCCUACAGCCAUCAGUGCUACAGAAACCAGGCCGAGCCCAGAGCUGCCUUUGAGAGAGACCACACCAGAGAAGCAGGAUGCUCAGACAGGAAUGGAGCCAGGCUCAGCUAACCUGUCCUCCACUGCCGUUCCCAGCAUCAUCCCAACAUCUGCUGGAGGAGACACAAGCACUUUGUUGGUGUCUACAGAAGGACCAGAAGGUCAAACUGUUUCCAGCACCUUCCCAGAGAACACAGACGCCUCUGCAAGCACUUACAGAGAACACAAGUACUCCCCAAGCACAGGAGUAACUCUCUGGCCUGACAGGGCUUCCCCGUCUUCUCUGCCAGCCUAACUGAAGGAACCAGCUACUCCAGGACUGUCCCCUCGACCUCUUUGGUGAGCAUGACAAGCAUUGGCAUAACUGGAGCUCAGACAAGCCCAGCUCUACCUCCUACCCCAGGGCCCACAGAGUCUACACCUCCCAAGGGGGGCACUCCCUCUGUCACACCAAUGACUGAAUUUAGAACCAAGCACCGUGAACAAUUACAGAGCAGUUUGGCCUCCAGCAGCCCCCCAGUGCAGGAGACCAGCAGACCAGGUAGCCCUACAGCAUCACAUACAAGUACACUCAGCCCAGGGAAGUUUCGUCCUGCUGAGAACACAGCUAACCUUGUGUCAAGUCCUGUGGGAGAGUCUAGCUCAGAGCCAGCUGCCUACACCACUCCUUCCCACACCCCAG